CGGUUUCUUAUCUUCCUCCUACACUCCUUUUCGAAAAUCUGCUUCUUAUCUUCCUUCUACACUCCCAUCUGAAAAUCUCAUAGACCCAAUCUCAGCUCUCACGAAUUAAAGACUAAUUAUAACCAUAUCUCAAAAUCAAAACCCAUGUAUCAUAUUUCACUGAGGCAAUCGCUUCGAUUUCUUCAAGUUUCAUUCUUUCUCCGGAAUUUCUGUCCCCGGAAUCAAAGAAAUCUCAUUUCUACUAACAUCCUCUCAAAAGAUUUCUGAAUUUGAGAGAGUUUCAUUCAAUUAGUACAACCCUUUAUCCCUUCGUCCUGUUACAAUUAAACCCUAGAUUUGGACCAAAUCGGAUUAAGUAAUAGCGGAUUUGAUGGUGAUUGAUAGGGUACUGAUUGAGGAAGCUACAGCGGUCAAGAAAGUGAAGAAGACAUCGAAAAUAAAGAGGGUUAUUGUAGAAAAUGUGAAUGUAGAAGAGAGGGAAGGGAAGAUUAAGGAGUUGAACUCAUUUUGGCUGGAUCAUCUAUAGAGAUUUUCUAUUCAUAUUUAGCUAAUGACUCACAACUCUUGUGUUGUUUGAAAUUUUUUAUUUUGUUUUAAUUUUUUGUAUUGAUCUAGUUGUUGUCGCUUGUACAUCACAACUACUGAAGCUAAGGAGUUGUAUCUUAACAAGGAUGGGUCACUAUUAAGAAGCUGCAAGAAUGUUGUAUUGGAAAGCAAGUACGAACCCAAGGUUGUGAACUCUGGAGUGAUUGUGGCUAAGUUUUACAGUGUCAUGGUGUUAGUGGAGUUGAUGUGUGCUGCAGAUAAGCAUCCAUUGAGUGCAUGGUUAGGGAGAAGGAUGAGAAGGUUAACUGCAAACUAUGCAAUAUAUACCAAUGCAUUAAGCGCGUCUUUAAGUGUGUAGCUGGUCUACUCAUUGUGCAGAAGGUGGUGAAUCAUGCUCAGAGGCAGAGUCAGUCUUCCAAUCGCUAUAAUAUGCUGCCUCUACUGGCAGCAUGACAAUGUGAAAGUUCUUCUAGAUUACGGCACCACUGUCAAUGCAUGUGGAAAAACAUUCGAAGACGUAGACAUGCUUGAAACAUCUAGUGUUUAUAAUCUUGUAUCAACCAAAUGAUUACCUAGCAGAUUUGAGUUUUUCCCCUCGAGAUUUCCUUGGACAAUUAGUUUUUCAGUUAGCUCUAUAAUUGGGAUUUUAGCUUAUUCCUACGUUCAUAGACAAGCAGUGUAUCCGGUAUGGUUCCAGGGCCACUACAUCAGGGCAUAAAACUAACUUCUGUGUUGCGUAAGGUCAGAUCCCAUAUUAUUUGUAAUACUGGAAUUUCGAAAAUACUAGUAAAGCUGAUGGGCUAAGCUGGAAGUAUCCCGCUUCACGUGAAUGGACAUUAUAUUCUCUGACUACAACACCUUGCGUAUUUUGGUGGAAAAGUUGGGUUACGGUAUGCUGAGAGUUGUGCUCGUGGUGGGAUCUGCUACUUAAACAUCAUGGUAAUUUGGUUGACAAAGAAAAUCGGCCAACGGAGGGUCCUGUCACUAUAAAUGUAACUUCAGGUGCUUCUACCCAAGAUAAGAAAAGAUGCUAUGAAGCUGGUAAUUUAUGGAUGGAUUGGUCGAUUACAUCAUGUCAUUGUGCCCAGCUACAGCAAAAGAAUUGGGGUACCUUAUAGAGGCUAGUUGAAACUUGGGAAAGUCCUGUAGUGUGCCAACAUACACACUCCCACUAUUUUCUUGUUGCUCUAAUCGUUAAAGCUAGGACUAAGCUAGUUCAUUGUAUUCUUUUCAAACUUA
Molecule: long non-coding RNA, 1785 nt
Organism: Papaver somniferum (opium poppy)
Lineage: Eukaryota; Viridiplantae; Streptophyta; Magnoliopsida; Ranunculales; Papaveraceae
Exons: 10
Source: RefSeq, a predicted model, not a curated record